This 506-nucleotide ribosomal RNA is filed under the name uncultured bacterium. RNAcentral's name for it is "partial 16S ribosomal RNA". It matches the Rfam family "Bacterial small subunit ribosomal RNA", at positions 28 to 523 of the family's 1533-position model. The record is from RNAcentral.
GAUGAACGCUAGCUACAGGCUUAACACAUGCAAGUCGAGGGGUAACAAGAGGAAAGCUUGCUUUUCUUGUUGACGACCGGCGCACGGGUGAGUAACGCGUAUCCAACCUGCCUAUAACUAGGGAAUAACCUUGCGAAAGUAAGACUAAUACCCUAUGAUUUCCUUUGAUGACAUCAGAUUAGGAAUAAAGAUUUAUCGGUUAUAGAUGGGGAUGCGUCUGAUUAGCUUGUUGGCGGGGUAACGGCCCACCAAGGCAACGAUCAGUAGGGGUUCUGAGAGGAAGGUCCCCCACAUUGGCGCUGAGACACGGACCAAACUCCUACGGGAGGCAGCAGUGAGGAAUAUUGGUCAAUGGGCGGAAGCCUGAACCAGCCAAGUAGCGUGCAGGAUGACAGCCCUAUGGGUUGUAAACUGCUUGUAUACAGGAAUAAAGUUAGCCACGUGUGGUUAUUUGUAGGUACUGUAUGAAUAAGGACCGGCUAAUUCCGUGCCAGCCGCCGCAGUAA